This 896-nucleotide long non-coding RNA is filed under the name Lepisosteus oculatus (spotted gar). RNAcentral describes it as "lncRNA (ENSLOCG00000022859.1)". Lineage: Eukaryota; Metazoa; Chordata; Actinopteri; Semionotiformes; Lepisosteidae. The record is from RNAcentral.
CAUGCUUCUGAAAUUCCCAGUUCAGAAUGUUUUUAUUUUUUAAUUAUUUUUUGUUCUGCCAUGCAGACCUGCAGAAUCAGAUGGAGGCUCUUCAAAGGAACUACUCCAGCCUGACCACUGAGCUACAGCAGAGAUGGCCCAAAGAGAGGAACAGCUCCUACCUUCAGGGCGACUGUCCUAGUUUGAAGACUUACUUCAUGGCCGUGAUUGAACACUACCUCCCCAUUGAGAAAUGCUUUCCCAUAGACACCACCAAGACUGUGAAAAGCACAUUCUCUGAAUUAUCAAGAAUGAAUGGUGAAGUCUUGACAGUAGGUAAGGUACUGGAAAUGCUCUCGGUCCUGGAAUUCCACUGAUUUUGCUUAAAAAAAACCUUUGCUUUUUCCUCUUUGCACACCAAUCUAACGACAACAGUCACUUCCUAUUAACAUCCAUUCUGCACGAUGGAUUGGACUAAGGGCAAGACCUUCAGUUGUAGUCCUCUUGAAUCUAGAGUCAGAGAGUCACGUAAUUGAAUGCAAUGCACUGUGUUAAUCAUUGUCCUUUUCUUCCAGUGUGGAAGUGGAUUCGGAAUGCAUCAGGUACCGGCAUUUAGCUGAAUCUUUUUUGCCUGUAGAGCACAUAUUUUCCUCAUGCAAUACUUUGUGUGCCUUGACAGAGAGACUUUCUCAUUGUUCAUUUCAGAAGCUAUAGCUGAAAGGCAUUUACAUAGAAGGUUAAAAUAAAAGGUUUAAGUUUCUUAUUUAAGUAUCGGAUGGAGACACUAGACUUAGGUUAAAAGUCUCGCCCUUCAGAUGAGAUGUAAAACUGAGGUCCUGACUCUGUGGUCAUUAAAAAUUGCAGGGUAUUUCUCAAAAAAGAAUAGGGGUGUUACCCCAGUGUCCCGGCCAAAUUUC